UCGGAAGGACCAGAGACGAAAAUAACCCCUUUUAUCCAGAAACACGCGGAUCCUUGGCGGUUCGAGUCGGGUCGGUCCGAUCCAUGUUAAAACGACGUCGUUUUGGGGCUUCAGGACGCCGGCCAAAACGGCUUCGUUUUAAGGGCCUAUAAAAGGCAAAUUUCUUUUCAAAAAAAUCAUUCCUUCCUUCUCACAAAAAAAAAACUGAUAUGCUCUCCCUCUCCCUUUCUCCGUUCCUCUCUCCGGCCAAGAGUCCGGCGAAACGCCGCCGCGCCGGUCGAUGAUCGCCGGCGUUGCCGUAGGCGGCGGUCAGAAAAUAAAAAAACCUCUUUAACCCUUCUUAACCCCCUGACUCCAAAUCUGGGGUUGUUUUUAGAAAAAGCGGCCAAAAAUGACCGAAUAGAGGAGGGGCCCUUCGAAUCCCGACGACGGAGAACGAAACAGAUGAUGGAGUAGGUGGCGGAGCAGUUGGUGGCGUGCCGCGCUGGAGAAGGCAGGGCAAGUGGCCGAUGGGACAGAGGCAUGGGUACGGCGGCAGAAGAAUUAGGGAAACCCUAGGGUUUCUCUUUUUGUGUUUAAUUUUUUGGACUUGGGCCAAUUUAGAUUUUGGGCUACUUGGGCCUUGUGUUUUGGGUUGAAUUUAGCUUGUUAGGCUGGGGUAUUUUGGGUUAAUGGCCCCGGGCAAAUUUGGGCUUCUACACCCGUAAUCUUAUUAUAAAACAUAAUUUAAGAUUCGGUAAACCAAA
Long non-coding RNA from Gossypium raimondii (Peruvian cotton), 746 nucleotides. RefSeq lists it as uncharacterized. The transcript has 2 exons. Lineage: Eukaryota; Viridiplantae; Streptophyta; Magnoliopsida; Malvales; Malvaceae. The record is from RefSeq and is a predicted model, not a curated record.